RNAcentral lists this ribosomal RNA (495 nucleotides) under uncultured bacterium. RNAcentral describes it as "partial 16S ribosomal RNA". It matches the Rfam family "Bacterial small subunit ribosomal RNA", at positions 30 to 507 of the family's 1533-position model. The record is from RNAcentral.
UGAACGCUGGCGGCGUGCCUAAUACAUGCAAGUCGAGCGAACAGACGAGGAGCUUGCUCCUCUGACGUUAGCGGCGGACGGGUGAGUAACACGUGGAUAACCUACCUAUAAGACUGGGAUAACUUCUGGAAACCGGAGCUAAUACCGGAUAAUAUAUUGAACCGCAUGGUUCAAUAGUGAAAGACGGUUUUGCUGUCACUUAUAGAUGGAUCCGCGCCGCAUUAGCUAGUUGGUAAGGUAACGGCUUACCAAGGCAACGAUGCGUAGCCGACCUGAGAGGGUGAUCGGCCACACUGGAACUGAGACACGGUCCAGACUCCUACGGGAGGCAGCAGUAGGGAAUCUUCCGCAAUGGGCGAAAGCCUGACGGAGCAACGCCGCGUGAGUGAUGAAGGUCUUCGGAUCGUAAAACUCUGUUAUUAGGGAAGAACAAAUGUGUAAGUAACUAUGCACGUCUUGACGGUACCUAAUCAGAAAGCCACGGCUAACUACGUG